Molecule: ribosomal RNA, 1319 nt
Filed under: Salmonella enterica subsp. enterica serovar Litchfield
Lineage: Bacteria; Pseudomonadati; Pseudomonadota; Gammaproteobacteria; Enterobacterales; Enterobacteriaceae
Description: bacterial LSU rRNA
Rfam family: Bacterial large subunit ribosomal RNA
Source: RNAcentral
GGGUUGUGAGGUUAAGCGACUAAGCGUACACGGUGGAUGCCCUGGCAGUCAGAGGCGAUGAAGGGCGUGCUAAUCUGCGAUAAGCGCCGGUAAGGUGAUAUGAACCGUUAUAACCGGCGAUACCCGAAUGGGGAAACCCAGUGUGAUUCGUCACACUAUCAUUAACUGAAUCCAUAGGUUAAUGAGGCGAACCGGGGGAACUGAAACAUCUAAGUACCCCGAGGAAAAGAAAUCAACCGAGAUUCCCCCAGUAGCGGCGAGCGAACGGGGAGGAGCCCAGAGCCUGAAUCAGCAUGUGUGUUAGUGGAAGCGUCUGGAAAGGCGCGCGAUACAGGGUGACAGCCCCGUACACAAAAGCGCAUGUGCUGUGAGCUCGAUGAGUAGGGCGGGACACGUGGUAUCCUGUCUGAAUAUGGGGGGACCAUCCUCCAAGGCUAAAUACUCCUGACUGACCGAUAGUGAACCAGUACCGUGAGGGAAAGGCGAAAAGAACCCCGGCGAGGGGAGUGAAAAAGAACCUGAAACCGUGUACGUACAAGCAGUGGGAGCACAGGUUUACCUGUGUGACUGCGUACCUUUUGUAUAAUGGGUCAGCGACUUAUAUUCUGUAGCAAGGUUAACCGAAUAGGGGAGCCGGAGGGAAACCGAGUCUUAACCGGGCGUUAAGUUGCAGGGUAUAGACCCGAAACCCGGUGAUCUAGCCAUGGGCAGGUUGAAGGUUGGGUAACACUAACUGGAGGACCGAACCGACUAAUGUUGAAAAAUUAGCGGAUGACCUGUGGCUGGGGGUGAAAGGCCAAUCAAACCGGGAGAUAGCUGGUUCUCCCCGAAAGCUAUUUAGGUAGCGCCUCGUGAAUUCAUCUCCGGGGGUAGAGCACUGUUUCGGCUAGGGGGCCAUCCCGGCUUACCAACCCGAUGCAAACUGCGAAUACCGGAGAAUGUUAUCACGGGAGACACACGGCGGGUGCUAACGUCCGUCGUGAAGAGGGAAACAACCCAGACCGCCAGCUAAGGUCCCAAAGUCAUGGUUAAGUGGGAAACGAUGUGGGAAGGCCCAGACAGCCAGGAUGUUGGCUUAGAAGCAGCCAUCAUUUAAAGAAAGCGUAAUAGCUCACUGGUCGAGUCGGCCUGCGCGGAAGAUGUAACGGGGCUAAACCAUGCACCGAAGCUGCGGCAGCGACACUCAGGUGUUGUUGGGUAGGGGAGCGUUCUGUAAGCCUGUGAAGGUGUGUCGUGAGGCAUGCUGGAGGUAUCAGAAGUGCGAAUGCUGACAUAAGUAACGAUAAAGCGGGUGAAAAGCCCGCUCGCCGGAAGACCAA